UCUGAUGGAGCACGCCGCGUGAGUGAAGAAGGGUUUCGGCUCGUAAAACUCUGUUGUUAAAGAAGAACAUAUCUGAGAGUAACUGUUCAGGUAUUGACGGUAUUUAACCAGAAAGCCACGGCUAACUACGUGCCAGCAGCCGCGGUAAUACGUAGGUGGCAAGCGUUGUCCGGAUUUAUUGGGCGUAAAGCGAGCGCAGGCGGUUUUUUAAGUCUGAUGUGAAAGCCUUCGGCUCAACCGAAGAAGUGCAUCGGAAACUGGGAAACUUGAGUGCAGAAGAGGACAGUGGAACUCCAUGUGUAGCGGUGAAAUGCGUAGAUAUAUGGAAGAACACCAGUGGCGAAGGCGGCUGUCUGGUCUGUAACUGACGCUGAGGCUCGAAAGUAUGGGUAGCAAACAGGAUUAGAUACCCUGGUAGUCCAUACCGUAAACGAUGAAUGCUAAGUGUUGGAGGGUUUCCGCCCUUCAGUGCUGCAGCUAACGCAUUAAGCAUUCCGCCUGGGGAGUACGGCCGCAAGGCUGAAACUCAAAGGAAUUGACGGGGGCCCGCACAAGCGGUGGAGCAUGUGGUUUAAUUCGAAGCUACGCGAAGAACCUUACCAGGUCUUGACAUACUAUGCAAAUCUAAGAGAUUAGACGUUCCCUUCGGGGACAUGGAUACAGGUGGUGCAUGGUUGUCGUCAGCUCGUGUCGUGAGAUGUUGGGUUAAGUCCCGCAACGAGCGCAACCCUUAUUAUCAGUUGCCAGCAUUAAGUUGGGCACUCUGGUGAGACUGCCGGUGACAAACCGGAGGAAGGUGGGGAUGACGUCAAAUCAUCAUGCCCCUUAUGACCUGGGCUACACACGUGCUACAAUGGAUGGUACAACGAGUUGCGAACUCGCGAGAGUAAGCUAAUCUCUUAAAGCCAUUCUCAGUUCGGAUUGUAGGCUGCAACUCGCCUACAUG
This 946-nucleotide ribosomal RNA is filed under the name Lactiplantibacillus plantarum. Its description in RNAcentral is "bacterial SSU rRNA". It matches the Rfam family "Bacterial small subunit ribosomal RNA", at positions 382 to 1322 of the family's 1533-position model. Lineage: Bacteria; Bacillati; Bacillota; Bacilli; Lactobacillales; Lactobacillaceae. The record is from RNAcentral.